This 77-nucleotide transfer RNA is filed under the name Fusobacterium mortiferum. RNAcentral's name for it is "tRNA-Asp". It matches the Rfam family "tRNA". Rfam says of the family: Transfer RNA (tRNA) molecules are approximately 80 nucleotides in length. Their secondary structure includes four short double-helical elements and three loops (D, anti-codon, and T loops). Further hydrogen bonds mediate the characteristic L-shaped molecular structure. tRNAs have two regions of fundamental functional importance: the anti-codon, which is responsible for specific mRNA codon recognition, and the 3' end, to which the tRNAs corresponding amino acid is attached (by aminoacyl-tRNA synthetases). tRNAs cope with the degeneracy of the genetic code in two manners: having more than one tRNA (with a specific anti-codon) for a particular amino acid; and 'wobble' base-pairing, i.e. permitting non-standard base-pairing at the 3rd anti-codon position. The record is from RNAcentral. Lineage: Bacteria; Fusobacteriati; Fusobacteriota; Fusobacteriia; Fusobacteriales; Fusobacteriaceae. RNAcentral also lists the same sequence under 14 other names.
GGGGGUGUAGCUCAGUUGGUUAGAGCGCAUGCCUGUCACGCAUGAGGUCGCGAGUUCGACCCUCGUCACUCCCGCCA